CAGCUCUUGCUCCUUUGCAUACACGAACAAAUCUUUCGCCUUUUACUAAAGAUUUCCGUGCAAAGGAGCAAUUUUGAGUUCAAUCAAACAAUUUUUGUAGCCCUACAAGGGCA
This 113-nucleotide small nuclear RNA is filed under the name Trichinella britovi. Its description in RNAcentral is "U5 spliceosomal RNA". It matches the Rfam family "U5 spliceosomal RNA". From Rfam's summary of the family: U5 RNA is a component of both types of known spliceosome. The precise function of this molecule is unknown, though it is known that the 5' loop is required for splice site selection and p220 binding, and that both the 3' stem-loop and the Sm site are important for Sm protein binding and cap methylation. Lineage: Eukaryota; Metazoa; Nematoda; Enoplea; Trichinellida; Trichinellidae. The record is from Rfam by way of RNAcentral.